UCCAUCAAAGGGCAGGCCAAAAGUGGCCCAC
Molecule: small RNA, 31 nt
Filed under: Bombyx mori (domestic silkworm)
Lineage: Eukaryota; Metazoa; Arthropoda; Insecta; Lepidoptera; Bombycidae
Description: ovarian small RNA-7213
Source: RNAcentral